GAGUCUCUCUCUCUGCUUUCUGAUCACCAUGUGGACUGCUUGCCUCUGCCACAAUCUUUUCAAUGGUGUCCUGCAUCACCUCAAGCCCUGAUCAAUGGAGCCGGCCUUCUAUGGACUAAGACCUCUGAAACCUCUCACUAUGGAAUCUCUUCUUUCUUGGUUAAACAAUAAUGUUGCCCCUACCAUGAGAGAGGCAGCAUGGUCCAUAGGAAAGGGCUUGGAGUUGGAGAGAGGAACACUGGACUCUUGCCAUUCUGCAGUGGGCAUGUCCUCACUCCUGACGUACUUCAGCAACUUUGGGGAUCCUGUGGCCAGUGCCUCACCUGAGCCUGGCCACCUGCUGGUGUCAGGAGGCACAGUUGGCAGCCGGAGUUAAGUGAUUCCCCAGGGAUGAUCUGUAAAGCUAUCAGGCUCACUGAAUUACAAACAAAAGAAGUUGAUCUUCUCCGUAUCAUACCCAGCUCACUCUGACUCCCUGUCUUCAGAGGUGAAAUGCAUCCUUAAUGAACCAUGAAGAGGCUCAAAUGUGGACAUGGAGAAAGUGAUUUAUAAACUAAGAAGAACCAUGAGAACCCAGAGGUGUUUGCUUGGGUGAUCUCAGUGGAGGGCAGCUGGCGCUGGCAAUCCUAAUCCAAGUGUGUCUGUAGCUUUCUGAAGAUGCCAGGCCUGAGCUCUUCUGAACCAGGGCUUCUCAAAGCCAGGUGAGGGCCAGAAUCCCCUGGGGUGAACAGAAUCCCCUGGGGUGAUCAGAAGUCCCUGGUGCUUGGGCACCCAGUCCGGGGCAUUCCUAUGAUAUGAAUCUGACUUGGGGCUGAGAAGUUGAUUUUUCUAACUCGUCUUAGAUGAGUGUGGCCACCUAGCAAGUCCAGGAGCCUCUGCUUGGAGUGAGUGGGACACCAGAAUGGCCACUUAUAUGAGGGUCAGGUGAGGUCUUGAAAUGCUUCCCAAACUCUUUGCUGUCCUCUGCCCAAGGUGGAGGUAAAGCUGGGUUUAUGUCACUGCUCAGAACAGCUCCAAGACUCCAACAGAAUAAGCCGUCUCUGUUGUGCGAAACUUGGAGGAAAGAAACAGCAGGUUCAGAAUGAGACAGACUUUCUUCCUGCUGCAGCAGCUUCUUUAAAGGGUGGUGAAUACACACAACAGGAUACCCUUCAGCCCUCAAAAGGGACAGCAUCUGGAGAUCAGAAUGGUAAGUGAUCACAGCCAUGGCAUAUCCUAGGAUCCAAAAUGGCUACAAGAGAGGACUUUGAAUGUUCUCAUCUAAGGAUGAAAUAUUUGGAAUAGUAGAUAACCUAUAAAUAGUCUAUAACUAAGUUUCUUGGAUUGAUCAAUACAUAAUAUAUAAAUAUGCCAAGACCUCACACUGCACUUUCUAAAUGUAUGUAUACAUGUUAUCUGUCAAUUAAUAUAAAAACAAGCAAAUACAUAGAUUAAAAAGACAUUAGCUUCUUUGGGUAGAGUGAGUUGUGUUAAUUGAGGUUGACUGCCCAUAGGAGGUUGGGAGAGCACCUGUCAGGGGUGCUGAGGGUGAACAUCCCAAGAAAGUAUUGGGUGAGGUUGAUCAUCAGCCUUUUGAAGUUCCACCUUUAAAGACUUCUGGGUGAAUCAUAGACUUGAGGUCGAUGGAUUAGGUCUACAAUAUUAGUUAGCCUACAGGGUUGAACAUCUGAUGUGAACUGAGCAGGUGGUGCUUGCCUAUAAUCCCAGCAAUUCAGGAGGCUGAGGCAGGAGGAUCACAAGUAGGAGGCCAGCCUCAACAAGUAAGC
This is a non-coding RNA of Ictidomys tridecemlineatus (thirteen-lined ground squirrel), 1766 nucleotides long. The record is from RefSeq and is a predicted model, not a curated record. Lineage: Eukaryota; Metazoa; Chordata; Mammalia; Rodentia; Sciuridae.